CCUCCAGUUUCUCCACCUUCGACCAGCGGAGGCGAGUCGUCGCGCUCCUCUCCGCUGUCCUCUUCUUCUCUUUCCUCUUCCUUCUUUUUUUUCCUCCGCUUCUUCCUCCGGUCCCGCACGAUCAAACAACCACCAUCGCCACCAACAACACACUUAGUCCCGCCGCAGUGCUACGAGCGGAGGUGUCGUCACGCGCGUCGACUAAUUUUCGGACGAACUUUCCGGUUCGGUGUCUUGUAUUGGACUGUGCAGAAGUGGCACCUUCCAGUUUCUGAACUUACAUCUUGUCAGAUAUCGAUGACUCACUAUGUUUGCAGAUCAAAUAUUCGAGAAGAAAUACUCGAAAAGAAAAGGAUCGAUGCUCCGAUAAUAUCGACGAAUUCCUGUGCGUAUAUGCAUCGCAUCCGUGUAUCGCGUUACGCAUCGGAUCAAAAUAUCAAAGCGGAUUAUCCAGAUGAAAGCAGCAAGGAUAAUCAUCACGUUAUCACCCUGGAACGGUAUAUCAUAGAGAUAGAAAAAUGCGAAACGCAGGAAGCAACAAGACGGACCAUCAACAAUAUAUCCGAGAAAACGGUAAUUGCAAAACAGCUGAUUUUACUUAAAGUUUGAUAGCUUUACGUUUGACAUAUAUUGAUAAUUGAUGAUUAUAUCCACUCUUAGAAAAGAUUUAUUAAAUUGAUACUCGCACAUAUUGUUGCCUCCUUUCUAUAAUGUUGAUUGAUUAUCUCGAUAUUGCGCUAUGCAUUACUUCAUAUCAAUAAAAGUCUAUCAUAGCUGAGUCGCAUAUUUGACAGUUCAAAUAUUAAGUA
Long non-coding RNA from Formica exsecta, 809 nucleotides. RefSeq lists it as uncharacterized. The transcript is spliced from 3 exons. The record is from RefSeq and is a predicted model, not a curated record. NCBI's taxonomy places the organism in Eukaryota, Metazoa, Arthropoda, Insecta, Hymenoptera, Formicidae.